This 301-nucleotide ribosomal RNA is filed under the name uncultured bacterium. Its description in RNAcentral is "partial 16S ribosomal RNA". It matches the Rfam family "Bacterial small subunit ribosomal RNA", at positions 509 to 807 of the family's 1533-position model. The record is from RNAcentral.
CAGCCGCCACGGUAAUACGUAGGGGGCAAGCGUUGUCCGGAAUCAUUGGGCGUAAAGCGCGUGUAGGCGGCUCGAUAAGUCUGCUGUGAAAGUCCAGGGCUCAACCCUGGGAUGCCGGUGGAUACUGUCGAGCUCGAGUCCGGAAGAGGCGAGUGGAAUUCCUGGUGUAGCGGUGAAAUGCGCAGAUAUCAGGAGGAACACCAAUGGCGAAGGCAGCUCGCUGGGACGUGACUGACGCUGAGACGCGAAAGCGUGGGGAGCAAACAGGAUUAGAUACCCCAGUAGUCCCUGUCUCUUAUAC